UGGCUCAGAACGAACGCUGGCGGCAGGCUUAACACAUGCAAGUCGAGCGGGCGUAGCAAUACGUCAGCGGCAGACGGGUGAGUAACGCGUGGGAACGUACCUUUUGGUUCGGAACAACACAGGGAAACUUGUGCUAAUACCGGAUAAGCCCUUACGGGGAAAGAUUUAUCGCCGAAAGAUCGGCCCGCGUCUGAUUAGCUAGUUGGUAGGGUAACGGCCUACCAAGGCGAGGAUCAGUAGCUGGUCUGAGAGGAUGAUCAGCCUCACUGGGACUGAUAUCACGGCCCAGAGACCUACGGGAGGCAG
This 306-nucleotide ribosomal RNA is filed under the name uncultured Bradyrhizobium sp. RNAcentral describes it as "bacterial SSU rRNA". It matches the Rfam family "Bacterial small subunit ribosomal RNA", at positions 20 to 351 of the family's 1533-position model. The record is from RNAcentral. Lineage: Bacteria; Pseudomonadati; Pseudomonadota; Alphaproteobacteria; Hyphomicrobiales; Nitrobacteraceae.